GGGCAGAUAGCUCAGUUGGUAGAGCAAUGGACUGAAAAUCCAUGUGUCGGCGGUUCAAUUCCGUCUCUGCCCA
Molecule: transfer RNA, 73 nt
Filed under: Bacteroidota bacterium
Lineage: Bacteria; Pseudomonadati; Bacteroidota
Also listed under: 7 other names
Description: Bacteroidetes bacterium tRNA-Phe
Rfam family: tRNA
About the family: Transfer RNA (tRNA) molecules are approximately 80 nucleotides in length. Their secondary structure includes four short double-helical elements and three loops (D, anti-codon, and T loops).
Source: RNAcentral